UGGCACCCGAUCGUUGAUAUUUUUCCUUAGCAGCGCUAAUAGGAGCCACCUGGCCGAACGAGAUAAAUGACCCGGAAGCUGUACAAAACAUUGGCGAAUAAUGGAAAUAAGAUUGCUGUUUCCUUUUACAAAGAAUGGGUUUGCCUCUAUACUUUGGUUCGGGACAAAGCAAUUCCGGCGCAGUAUAUAGCGGACAGCCAAUUUUCUCGGUUAGUGUGUCAUCUUCGGGAUUAUCAAGAAUCAUCGAGCCCUCAAGAGAUUCAUAUUGCAGUUUUGUUCUGAAAAAUAAAAUAAAUUGUACUCAUUAGUUUUCUAUGUUUUCAAGAGUGUUUACGUAAAUUAAAAAGAGUAUUGCAAGAUAUUCUAAUUCUCUUGCUCGUCGUACAGCACAGCAACGCCCAGACAUCUGCAUGUUGUAAUAAAUUCAUUGCCAACACGAUCACUCAUAAACUCAAUCGUAGUAAUACACGACAUUCAGUCAGCGGUGAUCGCAACAACACCCAAAACCUAAAAUUUCAACAAGUAUUACAACAAUGCACGAAACCUCGAACUGACCCUGAUAUCAAUACUCAAACACAUACAAAUUCAACCACACAAUCACAAACUGUUGCUUUUGGUUAGAGAAGAAGAGCACGGCAACUCCAUGAAUCGUUAAGACACACUGCCAGAUACAAGGUGAAAACAUUUAACAGAAAGAAGAGAGAGAACGCUAGUCGCACCAGCUAUUUAUGUAGGGGUAAACAUACUAUACAGAAAUAAAAACACAAUUACCCCGAAUGACCUCGAAUCGAUUUAAGAAAAAAUAUGAAUAGGGCAAAGAUAAUUUGUUGAUGUUAUUUUGCAAUGUAAUAAUAAAAGAAUGGAUAAAUAAAUAAAGCGAUUGACUUCAAAACUUAAAUAAAAAA
Molecule: long non-coding RNA, 905 nt
Organism: Musca domestica (house fly)
Lineage: Eukaryota; Metazoa; Arthropoda; Insecta; Diptera; Muscidae
Exons: 2
Source: RefSeq, a predicted model, not a curated record